Columba livia (rock pigeon) is the source of this 7839-nucleotide long non-coding RNA. RefSeq lists it as uncharacterized. The transcript has 2 exons. NCBI's taxonomy places the organism in Eukaryota, Metazoa, Chordata, Aves, Columbiformes, Columbidae. The record is from RefSeq and is a predicted model, not a curated record.
UCCGCAGGAGCCGCGAGAUUGGCUGGGCGCCCUUAAUAAUACAGUAGGUGGGGGAAAGCAGGGGAUAAAACACACCAAAAAUUGCAUUCAGACAACACAGAUGACAGUUAUUUUGAUUUGUAAAUGUCUACCUAGGUGGAAAAGCUGCCAUAAAUAAUAGCGAGCUGUCAGGCUGUGCAGAUCCGCGGGCUGUGCUGAGCGGGGCUGCGCUCAGGCCUGGUGCCGAUGGGAGGCUGUAUUUUUCACAGUGCAUAUACAGGAUAAACAUACGCUCUUCUCGCACAUGUUUGUCAUUGACAAAUUCCUGCUGCACCUGCACUAUGUCAUUACCGUGCUCAGUCACUGGAGCUGCACUUCAGAGACAGAGGGUUGCUGAAUUUUUUUUAUCUUUAAUAAUUCUCCUUCUUGUCCUUCAGCUAGGGCAGGAAAAUCCCCCGUUCCACAGCUCUGGUUUGCUGUCACACAAAUGAGGAGUUCCUGUUGGUUCUGUUGCAGCAGGCAGCAGCGCUGGCUCUGGGUGACAAUCUCCGGGCAGCCUGGUGAUGCACCGCGCUGCCAAUUUCUUCUCCCCAUGUUGGGAAAGCACAUAAAACAGCCAUUUCCAGGAAGAUACUUGGCUGUUGCUUUCGCUUGUUUUGUGCAUAAACAGAGCGCUUGAAUCUUCAGGGCUGUCAAUAUUUAUAGAUUGGUCUGUUCGAAGGCCAAGAGGGAGCAUUUAUAGUUAUGCGCUCUGCCCUCCGUAGGCUGUAGAACAGCUCGUCAGCCAGUGCAGGCAAAAUCGUACCCGCUCUGGCUCCUGACUGCAAUUCAGGGCACGGGAACUGGUUUUGUGAUGGAAGCAGGAACCAGCAACGAGGGCGGGUGCGGUUUGUCUGGGUGUAAGGUGCCCCCAGCCCCCGAUGUGACGCGGGGACGCUGCCUCCUUGCAGCAGCGUCCCCACCAGCGCAAGGGCCGCUCGUCAGAACGCUGCUCUGUUAAAUUCUGUGCUGAAUUCAGCCUGCUCACUUUGUUAUCUUGUCCAACAACAUCAACUGAUUCCUGAAAUGGCCCCGGAAGGUCUUGAUCAGUGAGUUGGAUUUCUGGUCAGGUAAUUGGUGGGAAGGAAGAGAGAGUGAGGAGGACUUUUGCUUUUCCCCAUGGGCUCUGAAAACGGCUUGGGAACAAGCCCCGCACCCGGUCCCUUAGCUCAGCUGUGAGCUGUGUUUGAAAUCCCACAAAUAAAGAGCUGAAAAAUGCCCUGAAGGUUUGGGAAACAUUGGGGAGCAUCCCUAGAUGCGUGUAUGGCUUCCCAUCAAGCACUACGUGAAAUUCAUGGUUUCAUGUGGCUUUGCCUGGGUGUUUGACUGAAUUUAGCUUUUCAUUCUGGGCUUGGACAGAGAAAUACGGGUAGACAAAGUCUGCAGCUUGAUCUGAGCAUGAUGUUCGCAUACCCUGGGACACAAAGCUGCUGGCUGUUCUGUACAGCCCUGACCUCCAGACUGAAAAGGAAAUUUCCCUGCUAAAGACGCACAGAUCUUCUAACAGUCCCUUCUAUCAAGCAGCAAAUCUCUACCAGUAGAUGCCCCAUCUGCAAAUACAUUUUGCACUGUGGUUGACUUCUAUGCAGUAUUUCAGCUGACCAGCCUUCCUGGGAUCACAAAGCAGAGUUUGCUGUUGAAUCAAAGUGCCUUUUUGUUUUCUUUGCUCCAUGACUGAUAAGUCUCACAGUGUCAUGCAACUAAAUAUAGCUUCUCCCUAUCGGGUGACACAGUGGCUGCUCCUGGCCGUGUCACCUCAGGUCGGGUUAAUUAACCCUGACAUCAUCCAUUUUCAUGGACGGAGUUCCCAUUCCCUGCUGCUUGUAACCAGAGGCCGAUCGCAGGGUGAACGCGGGCGGGAGCAACGGGGGGGCCGUGUCAACAGCGUCGCUUCGCACCGAGCCAAAGCGUUUCCAGCGCCUACAAAAAGGAGCAGAAGCCAACUUUUCAUCUCCUUGUUUUUCUUAGGGCUUAGCAAGGAACCAGUGAGUUUGCAGCAGCUCUGAUUACAGACGUUUGCUCUUUUCUUUAGCCCCGAUGACUGUGCGGUUGGCUGGGUGACAGCGUUUAUCCGGUGUCAGCGCUCCGGCCCUUCGCUUGGCUGUUCUCUCCAGGCUGUCCCCAGUGCCGCGGGAGAACAGCGAGCCUGGUGUUCGCUUUGGAAGGGGCUGUUUUGGGUGCGAUGUCGAGGGGUGAGGAGCCAGCACCAGACAGUCAGCGGAGGGUUGAACCAGCAGCUCUGACAGGCUGUAAUUGCUCCCAACCUUCUGCAGGGGUUAACGCCACAGGAGCGAAGACAAGCGGCUGCUCCAGCUCUGAAAUACCCUUUGUGGUAAGGAGCCUGCAGCAUUGCUGCUGUGCGUCUUGGUUUAGUAUUUUUCUAACUUGUGCUGCUCAUCUGUAUGGGCACUGAGUGGCCUCUCUUGAGAGCAAAAGAAAAUCUGUGCAGUUGCAGGAGGAAAUUGCUUCAAAGAUCAGCUUCGGGCGAGCAUUGUUCUGUGUGCAAGCCUUUAGGACGUGUUUGCUGUGUUUUGGGACCUCAUAGUCUGCGACCUAUUCAUGCUGCUCUAGUCAGAGAAGUAGCCAAAAAGGGCUUACAAAUUAAUGCACGACAGACACCGCAUCGCGCUCUUUUCCCCUUUGCACGGAGGCUUUUGUGAGCCGCAUCCUUUGCAGGCUGAUGCAUUGCAAUGUGCACAAGGCCAAACGUGAGUGACCGUUCCUCUUCAGGUUCGGGCUCUUCUCCGUUCCCCUGCUCUGAUUUUACUUUUUUCUUGUCCUCGUCUCAUUGGUGUCAUUUGUGCCGAGAGCUGGCAACCCAGGCAGCAGUGAGGCAGUGGGAGUGGGAGCAGCGGGGCUGAGACCUGCUGGGACCUGGGGUUCUGAACCCGCCCGUGUCUCUGCAGGGCAGCUCUGAAGUCACCCCUGUGUUUGGUGGUGGUGAUAAUAACCCAGGACGGCAGCUGGAAGGCUGUGUGUGGAUCUGGUGAUGUGGGAUGUGCGAGGAAGCAGCAGGUUGGAGGUGGGGACAGGAGGGACACAGCAAGGUGAGCAUGGCAGAUGUGGUUCUGGAGAAAAGGCAUCCAGCUGCAGCGGUGCCAGCCCGAGCAUCCCGUGUGCCAGCUGCACUCGUCUGGGUCCUGGUCUCUGGGGCGGGAAGGGGACAGACACCUGAGGUCCCAGCAAAACCUGUCCUGCAGUACUUGGAGCUGGUGAGAAGCCAGACUGACACAGAGCUUUAAGAAGUUCAGGAAGGUGGGGCUGGGAUUGAGGAGAUCUGGGUUGGUUUUGCCAAGUUAGCCCUGGCUUGCCUGGCUGAGCUUGGGGUGGUUCCUGCAGCUGACCCCGGCUGCUGCUGCUGAGCCAUGGCUUGAGACUUGAAAAUAAGCAUUGUUGGUUUUAUUUGGAGGACAAGUGCUACCAUUUUAUUAGAAAAUACUACCGAAGGAUGGCAGGAAGAGAGAGCAUAAAAGAUUAAGUCUACUCAUGGACUGGAUCAGAGCACAAUAUUUUGUCUCCCACUGUGCUACCAGCUGUAUGAGACGAGAAUGUCAGAAAUCCUGCAGCAGGCAAUUAGAGCCUGACGGCAGGCUGCUCGCCGCCUGACCUCGGGCACUUUGCUCUUGGUUUAGAUCCUGAAACAAGGAGGCUUUCUCCCAAAGCUCUUUGCCUUCUGCUUGCUUGUUAAGCCUGAACUGCCUUUGUGUCCCUCGGUGUGACCCGAGGGGUAGUGGGGAGAGGGAGGGAGCUCAGCAGCAGCAGCAUUGUGCCGGCCCCUUAGACAAAAUGGGCCCUGUCAGCCCAGAGCAUCCCCUUGUCCUGCAUCACAAGCAUCUUCCUCCUCCUCAAACUGUUGCAUGCAAGAUUUAUGUCUCCAGCCUCCACAGUACGUUAGCUCUGCAUUUUUCUGUCUGGAAUAUUAUUUUGCUACUUCAUGCUCAUAUUUUGUGAACGUCCCCAGGCCUGUUAUUUUUCUUCUGUUUCUCUUCGCAAUGUUUUUCAUUGUGGAAUGACCUGAGCCUAAUUCCUGUACCUUUUGCUCUGUGCAAAUGCAGCAGGAUUGUGACAGAAAGAGCUCUCUCUAAUGCGUGGACAGUGACGAGCAGCGGCUGGUUCAUGGCUAUUGACGUUCGCCCUGGGAUCGAUUCAAUGAGUCCCGCUGGCCGGUGCCUCCGUGGCACUGGUGGGGACCAGACGUCCCUGUGUCUCUCUCCUACCAUCACCCUCUCAGCAGCCAGACCCUGGCACGUGUGUUCCUGGGCGGGCUGGGGGGUUGUCACCAGGCAGGGGUGGUGACGUGCUGCUGUCCCCCCGUCCCGGGGUCUGGGUCCCCUUGGUGCCGCCUCUCCUGGUCCCACUGCUGGGGGGGAGCAGGGACGCUGUGCCAGCACUAGACCUGGGUGAGCAGAAACGUAUUUGUCAAUCAGCACGUUUUCUUUAUUUUUGCAAUGUACUCUGCUGGAGAACUAUUAUACAUAAUUGGUUCUGGAUUACUGCACAAACCGCAUUCAGAUAACGCUUGGCACCUUGGGAAUAGCUAAUGAUACAUAACAAACCAGCAGCAACGUGCUCAGGCUGAAGGGCUUUGUGUGUGUGUAUGUUUGGUCUUCUUUUUGUUUUCAAACGUGUCUUGAAGAACAAAAAUACACAUGUAUUUUAUUUUAAGCAAGCACCUCCUUGCACAGAUCUGUUUUGUUUUGAAACUUCAAGUGUGUUCCUUCAGCAGGUCAAUGUUAUCGUGCUGCUCUUGUGAUGCAGUGCCAGUCAUGUUUAUUUUCUUAGCUGAAAUUAUUUCCUCAACAGACUUCCUUUUGGAAGAGCACUGCUCUCUGCAUAUCUUGUUCACCCCUAAGCUCCUCUAGCUACUGCUCUGCUCUUCUGAUAGAGAUCUUACAGACAGGGAACAAUACUUUAUUAUUGGAAAGUAAAUGCUCAUAUCUGAGCCAUCCUAGAAUACAUCUAAAUCUGCAUGAAACAGACUUUAAGCAAAUGAACUCUAAACUCCUGGGUUUGAUUAUCUCAGAGAAUCCCUGCUGAAACUAAUAAGGCAGCAUCAUGCAAAAGACAUUCUAGGCUCAAUAUUACUAAGUAUUAAUUAUUGUUAUCUCUUUGCUAGUUGAUAGCAGUGCUUGCAGCCCUGCAAUUUAGCCUUCUAGCAGAAAGAAAGGUAUUGGAACAAAGCUAGAGAACAAAGCUUGAUAUAAACACAUCGGACCUGAAAGAAAAGCCGUCGUGAUGCACCUUGUUUCCUUCCCCAGAUCACAGUCCAGCAUGUCUCCGCUUUCAGAAACUGGCUUUAAAACCAUCUGUGCUGGAGAGCAAAUUUGCCGCUGCUCCUCCUGUAGAACCUUUUCCUGGGCUGCUGAGGCCAAGGGGACAGGCGAGGGGAAAAGCCUCACGUGCCUUUUCAAGCCUACCAUGUGCUCUCCAAGAAACACAACUUGGAUGACUUUGUACAACAGUGACAUCUGGCGAUACCCAUCAAUAUUUACUGCUUCCAUAUGCUGUUUAAGGGGGUGGAGUUAGAAUCUGCAAAUCCCUUAUCACUUGAGAAGUAAGUCAGAGUGUGAGCUUGGGUGUGAGUCCGGAGCUGCCAGGGCUGCUCCUGGUGCCAGCCCGCGCUCUCUGGUGUUGGCGCUCCCGUGAGCGGGUGUUGCGGGCCAAAGGCUGCGUGCAGAGGGACGGCAGGGGCGGUGCUGUGCUGGGCUGGGUGCGGUGCUGUGCUGCUGGCGGUGUGGGGGGCUGGCUUACACCGUGCUCUGUGCUGCUCCGGUGAGAAGAAGGGACUUAAAUCUCUGUGACUCCUCUUGAGCCCCUCUUGCGUCUCCCAUUGACUGACCCUGAAGGGCAGGGCUGCAGUCCCUGCUGGGAGUGCUUUAUUCCCAUUGCAGACCUCAGGUCCUGGUCAGACCUUACUUCAUCCAGCCUGGUUCAGCCUUUCUAAUUAUUAGGAGAACACUAUUUAAAUAAGGUGGAAAGUGCUCUCUGUUGAUGAGAAAUAAUUUGCCAAUCUCUCUGUCAAUACUCUGAAGUCAAAUAGCAAAAUAUUAGCAGAACUCAGAGGCAAUGUUUUCCUGUUGAUUUUGUGCAGGCAAGCUUUAUUACAACUGAGUCACAGACUUAUGUGUAAAGCACAACCAAAUACCUCUGAUACUUGCUUUGUGUUGAGCUGUGCUGUGCUGCAGGGCCAGUGGGACGUGGGGGGACAGUGUGAAGUGACGGGGGGUGCACAGGUGUGAAGUUGUUCAGACCCCCAGGUUCCUUGGCUGUUCUGUUUCUGCAGCAGCAGGACAGGGAGGGCUUAGAGAAGCUCUCCAGCAGGAUUUGGUAGUGGCUGAUCCCUGCUUCUGUGGGGAACUGCAGCCGCCCGAAGACAAGGGAAUGAUGAAGAGCAUUAACACGCUGAAACCAGUCCUCUCUUUUUGCAAAGAGAGACACACAUGGCUGGAAAACAAGUGUAGUCACGAGUGGGCUCUCCAUAGGGAUUCUCCACAGAGACUUCACAGCAAGUUUUCUGCAAGGACCAGAAACAUUCAGGCUUGUGUAGGAGGAGAUGGGGAGACAAUCGUUGCAGCACCUUUCAACAAACCCGUCGUUCCUAUGAAGUUGACAGCAUUAAAAUAACAAAUUACUCUGCAAAGAAAGCUGGUAAUUUUGGGUGCUUUCCACCGCGAUCAUCGCAGAAGUGUAAUAUCCAUUAUUAAGAGCCUUUUGGUGUCUCAUGAAGGAGCUGUUUGCACAUGACAAUGCAUCAUGGUGCUUACUACAGGGGAGGAUGUGGAGGCCUUGACCGUGGCUACUUCAGUAAUUCAUCAUUUUAAUUUGAAUGUUAAUGGUGGGAUGGGGCAGGUUAGGGAAGGUUGUCUGCCUCCCUCCCUUCCCAUCCUCCCUUUUUAAUAAUGCUUUCUCAUCCCGUUAGUCAGGUCUUAAUGCCCAAGAUGUCCAUUUCUCUUGCUCUCUUCCCUCCGCUCCGCUGCGGUCUCCACUCUGGAAUCCACAGUGCCCUGCAAUGAGUUAGUCCCUGAGGUUUGGGCAAGCGCUUGAUUUGUGUGAGGCUUAAACCAUGAAAACAAUGCCCACCAGACACUCCUAUUUUUAAAGAGAUGGCAGCUGAACUCCUGCUGGAUCUGCCACCCAGUCAUUGCAGAGAGACCACGCCACAAUCACAGCCUUGGGAUAACUCGGAGGUGAAGCUGCUGGUGGAGUUCAGAUACUGAACUUGAGGUCAUCCUGAAGCUCCGGGGGCGAUCCACGUCUCAGCCUCAUCCAACACCCUUGCUGGGGCAACCUGAGCAGUAGCCCCAGCUCUGUGUUACCCUGGUAUGAGACAACGCUGAUUUUCUGCAGCCUGAUGAAAGAGAAGUACUUCACCCCCUUUGCACCCCGGCGGCUGUACUGAGCAGCGAUUGCAGGGGGUGGAAUGAGCGUGUUGGGAGCGGGGGGACGUGGGUGGUGGGCGGGAUGUAACUGAGGUUAUGGUAGGGAGCCGGUCACUAUGGGGCUUGGGGCUUCACUGACCUAACUGCUUAUUUCCUUUGUUUCCAUGUUUUGCGUUGGUGGGAAGGGCGUUCUAGUGAGCUUAAAUGGCACUUAAAAUAUUAUGGAAAAGAGAACACAGGAAUAUUUGCCUCAUAACUUGCAGGCGCCAAAAUGUUCUUGUACAGUCUGCUUGUAAAGUUAGUGUUUGUCUAAGAAUUAUUCGGCAGCAGCUGCUGCUCUCCCAGACAAGUGCCCGCAGCUCUGAGGGGCAGCGGUGUCGAUGGGCUCCUGAAUGGGGCUAUGGGCCCAAAUCCUCCUUAAAAAUAAAAAUCCUAGUUAUUC